UUUGAAAACCCCUUUUCAGUUUGUCCUCAUUUUAUGAAAUCAAGAACUUGUUUAAAUAGAGUCAUCCUCUCCUCCCUUCCUUCCCUCCCUCCCCCAAAAGAAGUUUCUUAUAAACUAUACUCACAUUUUGUUAUUCCAUAAAGAAAAUGUUCGUUUUUAUGCUUCCUUUUGUGUGACUUGUAUCAUGUGAAAAGUGGAAUAGUCAACAUCUCUAGAAAUAUUAAGCAACUCUGAAGAUGUAAUGCAAUAAACUCUUGUUUCACUUGUGGAUGGCAAGGUAAGCCAUUAUCCAAGGAAUUUCCAUACAAAGUUUAAAUUAUGGAAACCUCAGAAGUUGUUUUGUAUAAUUUCCUUUAGUAUAACUUCUUAAAUUCUAUUUGUGCAUGAAUCUUCUAAUGG
Molecule: unclassified non-coding RNA, 399 nt
Filed under: uncultured bacterium
Lineage: Bacteria
Description: contains 16S-23S intergenic spacer region
Source: RNAcentral